GCAAAGAAUAACAGCGCCUCGGGGCUACCCAGUCCGCUCUCCCUGGUCUUGCCCUAAGGGAGGAGUAUGACUUGGGGCUGACUGCACAGAACUGAGCUCUUCUCUCCCGGAGGCCACAGACUGCCCUGGGGGGAGCCACAUCCCCACCCAGGCUCAGAGGGCAGGAAGAGCCCCAGCUUGAGAGCAGUGUGGCGGAGCGGGCUUUGGAGUCAGGAUAUGCUUAAAUCCUGCCUCUCGCCUUAGUUCUGGGGUCAGUUACCUUUCCUAACGAGCCUCGGUUUCCUCACUUGUCAAACGAGAAGGUUGGAGGAGGUGACUAAGGUCUCUUUGUUUCCCAAUGAUCUAUGGAGGCAUCUAGCGACAGUCUUCAGGUCACACAAGAAAGGAAGAAGGGCAGAUGAACUUGGCUUCUCUGACUCCUUCAGAAGAUUGGAACUCUUUCUAUUACAUCAAGAUGGUUUUAAUUAGAAUUCCCCAGCAGUUUUAGAACAAGAUCACAGGGGUACGAUGGUAAGUACCUGACUUGAGGUGAAAGUGGACACUCUGAAGAAAGAAGGCUACCCUAGAGCUACCUGGAAAAACAUCUGCCAUCCACAUACCUGGGUCUUACUGUAGGUGAGAAAUACAAGGCUGUGAAAAUUCAUUUGCAAAUGAAAUUUGUAAUUUUCCACAAAUAAAAACUUCCACCAAGUAAAGCCAUGUGCCUCCAAGGACAGACCACAAGCUACAAAAUGGGAAGGACAGCCAGGUGGCACAGCAGCAGAUAGAGCACCAGUCCUGAAGCCCAGAGAACCUGGGUUCAAAUCUGGCCUUGGA
Long non-coding RNA from Gracilinanus agilis (Agile Gracile Mouse Opossum), 816 nucleotides. RefSeq lists it as uncharacterized. The record is from RefSeq and is a predicted model, not a curated record. The transcript has 3 exons. Lineage: Eukaryota; Metazoa; Chordata; Mammalia; Didelphimorphia; Didelphidae.